AGCCUGAGAUCCUACUAUGAUGAAAUACCUUCAGAAGGUGAAAGAUAUUGCAGCAAGCUUGAAUAUUUCGAGAUCUUUCAUAUUUUCAGAACCGAAAAUGCUCGGACUGAUAUACUUUCACGAUUGGCUACUAUUGCUCUCAACUCGCUGGAUCGGAUAUUCGUUGAAUGCCUCGAAUAGUCGAGCAUCGACAAAAUCAAGAAAGUAUUGCAGCUCACUAUCAAAUCAAGCUGGAUGGAUCC
RNAcentral lists this long non-coding RNA (242 nucleotides) under Elaeis guineensis (African oil palm). RNAcentral's name for it is "long non-coding RNA (EGUI_LNC006381)". The record is from RNAcentral. Lineage: Eukaryota; Viridiplantae; Streptophyta; Magnoliopsida; Arecales; Arecaceae.